Molecule: ribosomal RNA, 403 nt
Filed under: uncultured bacterium
Lineage: Bacteria
Description: bacterial SSU rRNA
Rfam family: Bacterial small subunit ribosomal RNA
Source: RNAcentral
UGGGGAAUCUUGCACAAUGGAGGAAACUCUGAUGCAGCGACGCCGCGUGAGCGAUGAAGCCCUUCGGGGUGUAAAGCUCUUUCGACAGGGACGAUAAUGACGGUACCUGGAGAAGCAGCUGCGGCUAACUACGUGCCAGCAGCCGCGGUAAUACGUAGGCAGCAAGCGUUGUUCGGAGUUACUGGGCGUAAAGGGUGUGUAGGCGGCCUUCUAAGUUCGGUGUGAAAUCUCCCGGCUUAACCGGGAGGGUGCGCCGGAAACUGGCAGGCUAGAGUGUGGGAGGGGAAAGUGGAAUUCCUGGUGUAGCGGUGAAAUGCGUAGAUAUCAGGAGGAACACCUGUGGUGUAGACGGCUUUCUGGACCAUAACUGACGCUGAGACACGAAAGCGUGGGUAGCAAACAG